This 429-nucleotide ribosomal RNA is filed under the name Actinomycetes bacterium. RNAcentral describes it as "Actinobacteria bacterium partial 16S ribosomal RNA". It matches the Rfam family "Bacterial small subunit ribosomal RNA", at positions 355 to 776 of the family's 1533-position model. The record is from RNAcentral. Lineage: Bacteria; Bacillati; Actinomycetota; Actinomycetes.
UAGGGAAUCUUCCGCAAUGGGCGAAAGCCUGACGGAGCAACGCCGCGUGAGUGAUGAAGGUCUUCGGAUCGUAAAACUCUGUUAUUAGGGAAGAACAAAUGUGUAAGUAACUAUGCACGUCUUGACGGUACCUAAUCAGAAAGCCACGGCUAACUACGUGCCAGCAGCCGCGGUAAUACGUAGGUGGCAAGCGUUAUCCGGAAUUAUUGGGCGUAAAGCGCGCGUAGGCGGUUUUUUAAGUCUGAUGUGAAAGCCCACGGCUCAACCGUGGAGGGUCAUUGGAAACUGGAAAACUUGAGUGCAGAAGAGGAAAGUGGAAUUCCAUGUGUAGCGGUGAAAUGCGCAGAGAUAUGGAGGAACACCAGUGGCGAAGGCGACUUUCUGGUCUGUAACUGACGCUGAUGUGCGAAAGCGUGGUGAUCAAACAGG